GACGAACGCUGGCGGCGUGCUUAACACAUGCAAGUCGAACGGAGUGGCGAACGGGUGAGUAACAUGUGGGUGAUCUGCCUUGCACUUCGGGAUAAGCUUGGGAAACUGGGUCUAAUACCCGAUAGUGCAAGAUGAGCUCGCGGCCUAUCAGCUUGUUGGUGGGGUAAUGGCCGACCAAGGCGUCGACGGGUAGCCGGCCUGAGAGGGUGUACGGCCACAUUAGGACUGAGAUACGGCCCAGAGUCGUACGGGGGGCAACGGUGGGGAGUAUUGCACAGUGAGCGGAAGCCUGAUGAAGAGACGCCGCGUGGGGAAUGAAGGCCUUGGGGUUGUAAACUCCUUUAGACAGGGACGCGGUACCUGUAUAAGAAGCACCGGCUAACUACGUGCCAGCAGCCGCGGUAAUUC
RNAcentral lists this ribosomal RNA (408 nucleotides) under uncultured bacterium. Its description in RNAcentral is "partial 16S ribosomal RNA". It matches the Rfam family "Bacterial small subunit ribosomal RNA", at positions 28 to 526 of the family's 1533-position model. The record is from RNAcentral.